Long non-coding RNA from Oncorhynchus tshawytscha (Chinook salmon), 1627 nucleotides. RefSeq lists it as uncharacterized. Lineage: Eukaryota; Metazoa; Chordata; Actinopteri; Salmoniformes; Salmonidae. The record is from RefSeq and is a predicted model, not a curated record. The transcript has 4 exons.
UUGAGCCACCCUCCCUGUUGCUCUAGGGGUUGAGCCACCCCCCCUGUUGAUCUAGGGGUUGAGCCACCCUCCCUGUUGCUCUAGGGGUUGAGCCACCCUCCCUGUUGCUCUAGGGGUUGGUACAGGUUUAGUUACCCUCCCUGUUGCCAGAGGAUUAGAUACAGGAUCUACCUGCUAGGUGACCUUUAAACAGCAGGGAUGUGCCUUGUUUAACCUGUAGCACGGUGAGACACACCAAGACCCAGAGAUAUGGAGCAUGAGCAGGAACAAGGAUGUCUGAGACCUAGCAGGAAGGGAGGCUAGUGAGGCAGUACACACAGCCCUGUCCAGUGGAGGUCUGAGACCUAGCAGGAAGGGAGGGUAGUGAGGCAGUACACACAGCCCUGUCCAGUGGAUGUCUGAGACCUAGCAGGAAGGGAGGGUAGUGAGGCAGUACACACAGCCCUGUCCAGUGGAUGUCUGAGACCUAGCAGGAAGGGAGGGUAGUGAGGCAGUACACACAGCCCUGUCCAGUGGAGGUCUGAGACCUAGCAGGAAGGGAGGGUAGUGAGGCAGUACACACAGCCCUGUCCAGUGGAGGUCUGAGACCUAGCAGGAAGGGAGGGUAGUGAGGCAGUACACACAGCCCUGUCCAGUGGAUGUCUGAGACCUAGCAGGAAGGGAGGGUAGUGAGGCAGUACACACAGCCCUGUCCAGUGGAGGUCUGAGACCUAGCAGGAAGGGAGGGUAGUGAGGCAGUACACACAGCCCUGUCCAGUGGAGGUCUGAGACCUAGCAGGAAGGGAGGGUAGUGAGGCAGUACACACAGCCCUGUCCAGUGGAGGUCUGAGACCUAGCAGGAAGGGAGGGUAGUGAGGCAGUACACACAGCCCUGUCCAGUGGAGGUCUGAGACCUAGCAGGAAGGGAGGGUAGUGAGGCAGUACACACAGCCCUGUCCAGUGGAGGUCUGAGACCUAGCAGGAAGGGAGGGUAGUGAGGCAGUACACACAGCCCUGUCCAGUGGAGGUCUGAGACCUAGCAGGAAGGGAGGGUAGUGAGGCAGUACACACAGCCCUGUCCAGUGGAGGUCUGAGACCUAGCAGGAAGGGAGGGUAGUGAGGCAGUACACACAGCCCUGUCCAGUGGAGGUCUGAGACCUAGCAGGAAGGGAGGGUAGUGAGGCAGUACACACAGCCCUGUCCAGUGGAGGUCUGAGACCUAGCAGGAAGGGAGGGUAGUGAGGCAGUACACACAGCCCUGUCCAGUGGAGGUCUGAGACCUAGCAGGAAGGGAGGGUAGUGAGGCAGUACACACAGCCCUGUCCAGUGGAGGUCUGAGACCUAGCAGGAAGGGAGGGUAGUGAGGCAGUACACACAGCCCUGUCCAGUGGAGGUCUGAGACCUAGCAGGAAGGGAGGGUAGUGAGGCAGUACACACAGCCCUGUCCAGUGGAGGUCUGAGACCUAGCAGGAAGGGAGGGUAGUGAGGCAGUACACACAGCCCUGUCCAGUGGAGGUCUGAGACCUAGCAGGAAGGGAGGGUAGUGAGGCAGUACACACAGCCCUGUCCAGUGGAGGUCUGAGACCUAGCAGGAAGGGAGGGUAGUGAGGCAGUACACACAGCCCUGUCCAGUGGAGGUCUGAGACCU